GACGAACGCUGGCGGCGUGCCUAAUACAUGCAAGUUGAGCGCUGAAGGUUGGUACUUGUACCGACUGGAUGAGCAGCGAACGGGUGAGUAACGCGUGGGGAAUCUGCCUUUGAGCGGGGGACAACAUUUGGAAACGAAUGCUAAUACCGCAUAAAAACUUUAAACACAAGUUUUAAGUUUGAAAGAUGCAAUUGCAUCACUCAAAGAUGAUCCCGCGUUGUAUUAGAUAGUUGGUGAGGUAAAGGCUCACCAAGGCGAUGAUACAUAGCCGACCUGAGAGGGUGAUCGGCCACAUUGGGACUGAGACACGGCCCAAACUCCUACGGGAGGCAGCAGUAGGGAAUCUUCGGCAAUGGACGAAAGUCUGACCGAGCAACGCCGCGUGAGUGAAGAAGGUUUUCGGAUCGUAAAACUCUGUUGGUAGAGAAGAACGUUGGUGAGAGUGGAAAGCUCAUCAAGUGACGGUAACUACCCAGAAAGGGACGGCUAACUACGUGCCAGCAGCCGCCGCCG
Molecule: ribosomal RNA, 513 nt
Filed under: uncultured bacterium
Lineage: Bacteria
Description: partial 16S ribosomal RNA
Rfam family: Bacterial small subunit ribosomal RNA
Source: RNAcentral